Molecule: microRNA precursor, 58 nt
Organism: Bison bison bison
Lineage: Eukaryota; Metazoa; Chordata; Mammalia; Artiodactyla; Bovidae
Source: Ensembl
AAGACAUUGAUCGAACAGAUCCUCUGCAAGGGCGGGAUCUUGUCCGAGAAUGUCUUGA